This 247-nucleotide ribosomal RNA is filed under the name uncultured Ehrlichia sp. Its description in RNAcentral is "partial 16S ribosomal RNA". It matches the Rfam family "Bacterial small subunit ribosomal RNA", at positions 215 to 461 of the family's 1533-position model. The record is from RNAcentral. Lineage: Bacteria; Pseudomonadati; Pseudomonadota; Alphaproteobacteria; Rickettsiales; Anaplasmataceae.
UCGCUAUUAGAUGAGCCUACGUUAGAUUAGCUAGUUGGUAAGGUAAUGGCUUACCAAGGCUGUGAUCUAUAGCUGGUCUGAGAGGACGAUCAGCCACACUGGAACUGAGAUACGGUCCAGACUCCUACGGGAGGCAGCAGUGGGGAAUAUUGGACAAUGGGCGAAAGCCUGAUCCAGCUAUGCCGCGUGAGUGAAGAAGGCCUUCGGGUUGUAAAACUCUUUCAAUAGGGAAGAUAAUGACGGUACA